GAUGAACGCUGGCGGCGUGCCUAAUACAUGCAAGUCGAGCGAGCAGACGAGGAGCUUGCUCCUUUGACGUUAGCGGCGGACGGGUGAGUAACACGUGGAUAACCUACCUAUAAGACUGGGAUAACUUCGGGAAACCGGAGCUAAUACCGGAUAACAUGUUGAACCGCAUGGUUCAACAGUGAAAGACGGUCUUGCUGUCACUUAUAGAUGGAUCCGCGCCGCAUUAGCUAGUUGGUAAGGUAACGGCUUACCAAGGCAACGAUGCGUAGCCGACCUGAGAGGGUGAUCGGCCACACUGGAACUGAGACACGGUCCAGACUCCUACGGGAGGCAGCAGUAGGGAAUCUUCCGCAAUGGGCGAAAGCCUGACGGAGCGACGCCGCGUGAGUGAAGAAGGUCUUCGGAUCGUAAAACUCUGUUAUUAGGGAAGAACAAAUGUGUAAGUAACUAUGCACGUCUUGACGGUACCCAAUCAGAAAGCCACGGCUAACUACGUG
RNAcentral lists this ribosomal RNA (497 nucleotides) under uncultured bacterium. RNAcentral describes it as "partial 16S ribosomal RNA". It matches the Rfam family "Bacterial small subunit ribosomal RNA", at positions 28 to 507 of the family's 1533-position model. The record is from RNAcentral.